Molecule: non-coding RNA, 148 nt
Organism: Pan troglodytes (chimpanzee)
Lineage: Eukaryota; Metazoa; Chordata; Mammalia; Primates; Hominidae
Rfam family: Metazoan signal recognition particle RNA
About the family: The signal recognition particle (SRP) is a universally conserved ribonucleoprotein. It is involved in the co-translational targeting of proteins to membranes.
Source: Rfam
GCCAGGCGUGGUGGCGCACACCUGUAAUCCCAGCUACUCGGGAGGCUGAGGCAGGAGAAUCGCUUGAGCCCAAGAGGUGGAGGUUGCAGUGAGCCAAGAUCGUGCCACUGCACUCCAGCCUGGGCAACAGAGUGAGAUUUUGUCUCAA